Long non-coding RNA from Solea senegalensis (Senegalese sole), 2025 nucleotides. RefSeq lists it as uncharacterized. NCBI's taxonomy places the organism in Eukaryota, Metazoa, Chordata, Actinopteri, Pleuronectiformes, Soleidae. The record is from RefSeq and is a predicted model, not a curated record. The transcript is spliced from 3 exons.
AAGACGUUGUUCCAAGAACAGGUGUAAACUUCUAAACUAAACCUAAAGUUCUGCUGUGAAAAUGGGUGACACAGUCAAACUAAACCGCCGUCCCGAGGAAAGCAGCGUGCAGAAGUAUUUUACGUUCGUUCUGUGGAUAAGAAAGGAAUACAUCUGCUGACUCACGCACCUGUUAGCUUAGCUGUUAGCUCAACCUGAGCGAAGCAGCAGAGGAAGAGGAGGAGGAACCAUAGAUAAACACAACCACCGAGCAACUUCACUGGAAUAAAAAUGCUGCUGUGCUGAGCGAGGAACCCACUGGGAGGAGAGAGGAAAAUAGCGGACAACUCAUUUCUCUCUAACACCCUCGGAAGCCGAGGAGCUGUGAGCCAGACUAGAGUCGACUGCAGGACUCACUGGGAUUGAAUACAUGCUCAAUUUGAGCGCUUGCCGAGCUGGACACCAAAUGGGCAAUAUGGACGCCAACAUGCUCCCUCCAGCAUCGAGCUUUCCACACUUAACUGCCUCCACCAAGUCUGGGCAUCAGCUUGAACCAUCCCAGUGAGGGCUCAUCGUGUAGAGUUAAGGCUGGAAAGGCCAGUCUGUGAUUCCAGAAGCUGUCCCCAAGAAAUAGAGAGAGAGAGAGAGAGAAGCAGCUACAGCCUUAGAGGAAUCAACUUACAGCAAACCAAUCAACCUGUUGAGCUUUUUCACGAAACCGCAGUGAUGCUUGAGCAAUGGUAUGGAGCUUUCAGACACAUGCGGAUUUAUCGACUGGAUAUCCUGUUGAGAUUAUGACAAUUUUGUGCACACCUCAGAGCUAGGCCACUUUGCCAGAUUGGCUUGUGGGCAAAAGCGAGUAAUUGAAAAUCCCCCCUCAAGAGGCAUCCUGCUCUAAUUUGAUGUGAAGGAGGAGAGUGUGUGUUUUUUUUAAAUGUACAAUUAAAAAAACAAUUCAUCCCAAUAUUUUUUUUCAGCAUCUUUUUCACACAUUGUGGAAAAAUACAUUCUAAAGCAGCUCAUUCUUCCUCUGUGACAGAGAGUGAAGAGGGACAGACUGUCCGGAAUAGAUAACGAGCGAGGAGACCGGCGGAAAUAGAGGAGCUGGAAAAGAAAAGGAAACGAGUGGAGAGAGAAAGUCCGGAGAAAGACAAGAGAAGAAAAAAAGAGAAUUAACCAGGAUUGUUUGAAACCCUCUCUGACAAUCCUUCUUAUUCAUCUGUGCAGAGUUGGAGGCUAGUUUGUGCAAUGGACAUGGGAGGGGUCAGGAUUUACAGCAGGGGGGGCACUUGAGCAGCAGAAUAUGGUCCCCCUGUACCUGCCUGAUUUGCUUCUUAGUGUUUGGCAGGAAAACAGACUGAGAGAGGGCUGGUAAACAUACAGCUGUACUGAAUGACAGACAGGCUCUAAGGUUGGUCAGACAGACAGACAGACAGACAGGAGGACAGGAAGACACGGCCUGUUCCGAGUGUCAGGCAGAGAGCCAGGCAGACAUCCAGUGUCGGUGCAGUAGACGGCCUGCAAUCCAUUGUCAUUCUGUACAGUGAGCGAGGAAAGGAGAAGAGGAGCAUUCCUGCGUUUUGAAGAAUCUCACUUCCUCUGCAUCCACUUCUGGUUCUGAUGUAGCAGCCCAUGCUCUAAAAAACAGACUUGGAGGGAGGAGGCUGUUACUAGAAAGGAAAUACAGGUUGUAGAGGGAGAGAGAAAGGAAGGUAGGUAGAGAAACUGAGGGAGAGAGCAGGUGUUGAAAAUCCUCCCCUUCAUCUGCUUGUCAUUUACUCCUUUAUGUUCCCUUGUCGUCUGGCGAGGUGAUUGGUUUCCUGACGCUGGCGUUCCUCUACUCAUAGGCCCAUCGCUAUCCUGAGGAAAACACGAGGUGGGCAAACACAGGAAAGCAGAAAGAGAAAGCAGUAAAGGAAACAGUGGAGCCUUGUUGUGACCCUUCCCUUUCUUUUAUGUCAAGAUGGACUCUUAUUUUUUUCCUGCUUUUUAGAAGAAAGAGAUCAUAAGAAGACACACAGUGGGCCAGUCAACACCUCAUCCCCC